CAGAGACAAGUAACCAGACCUGACAGAGAUAAAUUGUGCAAAGGGGAGAAUUAUAGUGACCACCUAAGCAGCAAAAGGAGGCUUUAGAGGGGACACCUUCAGUGAGUAUAAGCACCCAAAGAUGUAGCCACAAGACAGGACCAUGGGACACCCCUUUGCAACCCUACUGGGAAAAAGAAACCAUCUGUGAAGUUCCUAUAUACCAACACAUGUGGUAUGUGGAACAAACAGAAGGAACAGAUCUGUUUGCAGUUACAGGGCUUUGACCUCACUUUUUUAUGGAGAUGUGGCGGGACAGCUCCCAUGACUGGAAUGUUGUCACAAAGGGCUACACAUCACUGAGGGGGGACAGACCAGGAACACACAGAGGUGGAUUUGACCUUUACAUGAGGCAACGCUUGGAGUGUGCUGAGCUCUGUCUCAGGGUGGGUGAUGAGCAAGAUGUGAACGUUGGAGGAGUCCUUGGCUGUAAUGACCAUGAGGUUGUGGAGAUCAGCACUGAGUGAGGAGGAAGGAGGUUAAUGAGAUUGUAACCGCGGAUUUCAGGAGAGCUAACUUUAGCCUCUUCGGGAAUCUUCUUGGAGUAAUCCCAUGGGAAAAGUCCUUCAUGGAAGAAAGGCCCAAGAGAUUUGGUUAAUAUUCAAAGAUCACUUCUUUCAGAAUCAAGAAGGAUUCAUCCUGAUGAGCAAGAAAUUGCAUAAAGGGGGCAAGAGACAUGGACGAAUAAAGAAUUCCUGCCAUUA
This is a long non-coding RNA of Passer domesticus (house sparrow), 743 nucleotides long. RefSeq lists it as uncharacterized. The record is from RefSeq and is a predicted model, not a curated record. Lineage: Eukaryota; Metazoa; Chordata; Aves; Passeriformes; Passeridae. The transcript is spliced from 2 exons.